GUGUCAGCCGCCGCGGUAAUACGUAGGAGGCGAGCGUUAUCCGGAUUUAUUGGGCGUAAAGAGCGCGUAGGCGGCCUAUUAAGUCGGUUGUGAAAUCUCUCGGCUUAACUGAGAGGGGUCAACCGAAACUGGUGGGCUUGAGGACAGAAGAGGAAAGUGGAAUUCCCGGUGUAGUGGUGAAAUGCGUAGAUAUCGGGAGGAACACCAGUGGCGAAGGCGGCUUUCUGGGCUGUUCCUGACGCUGAGGCGCGAAAGCGUGGGUAGCAAACAGGAUUAGAUACCCUGGUAGUCCACGCCGUAAACUAUGGACACUAGGUAUGGGGGGUAUCGACCCCCUCCGUGCCGAAGUUAACGCUAUAAGUGUCCCGCCUGGGGAGUACGGCCGCAAGGCUAAAACUCAAAGGAAUUGGCGGGG
Molecule: ribosomal RNA, 415 nt
Filed under: uncultured prokaryote
Description: bacterial SSU rRNA
Rfam family: Bacterial small subunit ribosomal RNA
Source: RNAcentral